UGCUUGUAACACACCCAAAGGAAUCUGGGUUCACUGAGACAAGGGGCAUAAAACUUGUGGCCUUCCUAUGACCAAAUACUCUCUACAU
Bison bison bison is the source of this 88-nucleotide small nucleolar RNA. NCBI's taxonomy places the organism in Eukaryota, Metazoa, Chordata, Mammalia, Artiodactyla, Bovidae. The record is from Ensembl.